RNAcentral lists this ribosomal RNA (373 nucleotides) under uncultured organism. RNAcentral describes it as "bacterial SSU rRNA". It matches the Rfam family "Bacterial small subunit ribosomal RNA", at positions 526 to 896 of the family's 1533-position model. The record is from RNAcentral.
CGGGGGGAGCAAGCGUUGUUCGGAUUUACUGGGCGUAAAGGGCGCGUAGGCGGCCAGCGCAGUCAGUUGUGAAAUCUCCGGGCUUAACUCGGAAAGGUCAACUGAUACUGCGCGGCUAGAGUGCAGAAGGGGCAACUGGAAUUCUCGGUGUAGCGGUGAAAUGCGUAGAUAUCGAGAGGAACACCUGCGGCGAAGGCGGGUUGCUGGGCUGACACUGACGCUGAUGCGCGAAAGCCAGGGGAGCGAACGGGAUUAGAUACCCCGGUAGUCCUGGCCUUAAACGAUGGAUGCUUGGUGUCUGGAGUUUUAUAGUCUCCGGGUGCCGUAGCUAACGCGUUAAGCAUCCCGCCUGGGGAGUACGGUCGCAAGACUG